GUAAAGCCAAUGAUUAGAGGCA
Molecule: small nuclear RNA, 22 nt
Filed under: Arabidopsis thaliana (thale cress)
Lineage: Eukaryota; Viridiplantae; Streptophyta; Magnoliopsida; Brassicales; Brassicaceae
Description: snRNA_09895
Source: RNAcentral